CCGAGUUAUACAACUCAUCAACCCUGUGAACAUACCUAAAACGUUGCUUCGGCGGGAACAGACGGCCCUGUAACAACGGGCCGCCCCCGCCAGAGGACCCCUAACUCUGUUUUUAUAAUGUUUUUCUGAGUGAACAAGCAAAUAAAUUA
Molecule: unclassified non-coding RNA, 149 nt
Filed under: soil metagenome
Description: partial internal transcribed spacer 1
Source: RNAcentral